This 490-nucleotide ribosomal RNA is filed under the name uncultured bacterium. Its description in RNAcentral is "bacterial SSU rRNA". It matches the Rfam family "Bacterial small subunit ribosomal RNA", at positions 37 to 518 of the family's 1533-position model. The record is from RNAcentral.
UGGCGGCAGGCUUAAUACAUGCAAGUCGAACGGUAACGACCGGUAGCAAUACUGAGGCGACGAGUGGCGCACGGGUGCGUAACGCGUAUGACAACCUACCCUCAACCGGGGCAUAACGCCGAGAAAUUGGCGCUAAUAUCCCAUGUGUAUGUGAGACGGCAUCGUCUUAUAUAUAAAGAUCCGUUGGUUAAGGAUGGGCAUGCGUAACAUUAGCUAGUUGGCGGGGUAACGGCCCACCAAGGCGACGAUGUUUAGGGGUUCUGAGAGGAUUCACCCCCACACUGGAACUGAGACACGGUCCAGACUCCUACGGGAGGCAGCAGUAGGGAAUAUUGGGCAAUGGAGGCAACUCUGACCCAGCCAUGCCGCCGUGAAGGAAGACGGCCCUAUGGGUUGUAAACUUCUUUUGCCGCAGAGUAACCCGGGGGACGCGUCCCCCGCUGAGAGUAUGCGGCGAAUAAGUAUCGGCUAACUCCGUGCCAGCAGCCGC